Molecule: ribosomal RNA, 938 nt
Filed under: Funneliformis mosseae
Lineage: Eukaryota; Fungi; Glomeromycota; Glomeromycetes; Glomerales; Glomeraceae
Description: LSU rRNA
Rfam family: Eukaryotic large subunit ribosomal RNA
Source: RNAcentral
GACCUCAAAUCAGGUAAGAAUACCCGCUGAACUUAAGCAUAUCAAUAAGCGGAGGAAAAGAAAAUAACAAUGAUUCCCUCAGUAACGGCGAGCGAAGAGGGAUAAGCUCAAAUUUUAAAUCUGUUGGGUUCCACUUAACAGAGUUGUAUUUUGAAGAAACGUUUUCUGCGUCCAGGAUUAGCCUAAAUCCUUUGGGAUAAGGUAUCAUGGAGGGUGAGAAUCCCGUUCAUGGUUAAUCUUAAGGAAGCUCUACGAUACGUUUUCCAAGAGUCGAGUUGUUUGGGAUUGCAGCUCAAAAUGGGAGGUAAAUUUCUCCUAAGGCUAAAUAUUGGCGAGAGACCGAUAGCGAACAAGUACCGUGAGGGAAAGAUGAAAAGAACUUUGAAAAGAGAGUUAAACAGUACGUGAAAUUGUUGAAAGGGAAACGAUUGAAGUCAGUCAUACCAACGGGAAAUCAACCUUUUGAGCUCGGUCUCGUGGGUUUGAAGAGUUUCAAAGCCUUCGGAUUCGCGGGAUUGGGAUCUCUUGGUGUACUUUUUCGUACGGUUAGUCAACAUCGGUUUUGAAUGUCAUAAAAUGACUGGAGGAAUGUAGCUUCGAUCUCGUAUUGAAGUGUUAUAGCCUUUGGUAGAUGUGAUGUUUGAGACCGAGGAUUGCAACGGAUACCCUUCAGGGCUAUUCGUCUGAUCUCUGAUACGUUGCCUUGAUGUUGAAAGCUUGCUUAUGAUGUUAGGGUAUUACGGUCAAAAGGUUAGAACGAAUUACAUUCGUUAAGGAUGUUGACGUAAUGACUUUAAACGACCCGUCUUGAAACACGGACCAAGGAGUCUAACAUAUAUGCGAGUGUUUGGGUGAUUAAACCCUUGCGCGUAAUGAAAGUAAUUUUGGUGAGAUCCGGGAAAAAAUUUUCGGAGCAUCAUCGACCGAUCAGGAUAUUU